RNAcentral lists this long non-coding RNA (384 nucleotides) under Trifolium pratense (red clover). RNAcentral describes it as "long non-coding RNA (TPRA_LNC004379)". The record is from RNAcentral. Lineage: Eukaryota; Viridiplantae; Streptophyta; Magnoliopsida; Fabales; Fabaceae.
AUCACAUUAGUUGAAGAUGAGAACAAAUCAAACCAAAAAGGAAAAUUUUCAUUCCUUCAUGAUUCACAUUCAAGUCAUAAUUUCAUUCCAGAAUUAAAAAAACAAUCAGAUUUCUAAACUCAAUCUUGAUGUUAUAUAAAUGAGGGGACACGCAAAAACAAGAGGGGGAGAACCAAAAACUGAGAACAAAAAAUCAACAGAGAAAGAAAACGCAGUAGCAGUUUGUUGCUGCGCCACAUUCUUCCAUACCAACAUUCAUCAAUCAUAAUCAUCACUAUAAAUCAAACCAUCACAAAAAAAAGAGAACAAAAAAAAACACAAAAGAUUUGAGGCAGAAAAUUAGAGGAGACCAAACCAAAAAACCACAGUACAAGAACGGCAGCA